AGUGGCAGCAGCAGCCAUGGGGAAGCCGGGCGUGGAGGCAGCACCGGGCUCGGAGCUGGCCAGGGUUCCCUAGCCUAUGGAGCACGCAGCCACCACAGGCCCCAGGCCUGGACCUCCCUCUCGGCGGGUGGAGAAUGUUGUGCUACGAGCCAAGGACUGGCUGCCAGGAGCUCCUGGGGGCACCGCAGUGUGGGCCACCAGCUUGGAAGCAGAGGUCCCACCAGAUCUAGCGCUCAAUAAGGAGCAGCAGCUGCAGAUCUCCAAGGAGCUGGUCGACAUUCAGAUCACAACCCACCACCUACAUGAGCAGCAUGAGGCUGAAAUCUUCCAGCUGAAGAGUGAGGUGCAGCCCAAGAACACCAUGAACCCCGAGAAUGAGCAGCACAGGCUGGGGAGCGGCGUGAGUGUGCAGCCACCUAGCUCAGGGGAGAGGGCAGCACCAGAGACCCCAAGCCUAGGGUCUCAUCCAGCCAGCCCUGUGUGCCCCACAGCUGCAGGGGGAAGUGAAGUGGGCGCUGGAGCAUCAGGAGGCCCGGCAGCAGGCACUGGUGACGCGUGUGUGAGUGGCCAUCUCACCUGGGGCCCCAUCCUGGAGCAGAGAGAACCCCUGAUCGUGGGCCUGCUGAGCCUCACCCCCGUGUCUUCAGGGCAACCCUGGGCCGGCAGCUGCAGGGAGCCCGAGAGGAGGCCAGGGCAGCCGGGCAGCGACUGGCCACACAGGCUGUGGUGAGGCUCUGCCCUGACUGCUUGGAGACCUGGAGGGUGGGGGCCCCAGAAGCUCAGCCGGGGUCCACUCUCAGGGCACAGGUGGAGGGCUGCUUCCACCCCAGGUGCUGUGCAGCUGCCAAGGCCAGCUCCGUCAGGCAGAGGCUGAAAAUGCCCGGCUGCAGCUGCAGCUCAAGAAACUGAAGGAUGAGUACGUCCUACGGCUGCAACACUGCGCCUGGCAGGCAGUGGUGAGCCCUGCAGGAGCACCCUGAGGCCUAGGGAGCCCAAGCCUGGCCUGGGUGUGCUGGAUAGCUUCAGGGAGACCCCAGGGCCCCGGCACUGCUCAGCCUGCUGGGGUGGGGGGAUGGUUGGAAAAGAUGGGGGGUGGGCCCCAUGCGGACCCAGCCCGCCGCCUCCAGGAGCACGCAGAUGGUGCAGGCCAAGCGCCAGCCACCACGGCCCUCCGGACAUUCCUGGAGGCGACUCUGGAGGACAUCCGGGCAGCGCACCGCAGCCGUGAGCAGCAGCUGGCCCGGGCUGCCCGCAGCUACCACAAGAGGCUGGUGGAUCUGAGCCGCAGGCAUGAAGAGCUACUGGUUGCCUACAGGUGGGCCCCGCUGGGAUGGGAGGUGUCAGGCAUCUGUGGGUCUCUAAGCCUCUGUGCCUCAAAGGCUUGGUGUGCAGCAGGAGUGGCCCCAGACAGACACUAGCCUACCCUGACAGGGCACCUGGGAACCCCCAAGCUAUUUUUGACAUAGCCAGCUUGGACCUGGAACCAUUGCCCGUGCCCCUGGUCACUGACUUCAGCCAUCGGGAGGACCAGGUGAGGCUAGAGACCCCCAGAAGCUCCAGGCCCGGGUGCCCCCCACCCACCCACUGCCCCACACUGGCCCCAGGCCUCAUCCUGGGCUCAACAGAGACCUCAGCCCCGGGCCUCUGAGGGGCUUGCCUUGUUCAGCCAACUGAAACGUCCCCACCACAAACCUCUGUAGCACGGCGGGCCUGGGGCACUGCUCUCAUCCCCAAAAAAGAGACCCGGUGGAGCCUCCCAGGGGGGAACAUCAGAGCCACAGUGAGUGCCCUCAUGGGUGUGGGGGAGGCCUGUGGGGGAUGAGCAGAGAGCACAACGCCUGCACCCUGGGGCCCCCAGUUGCUCCACCAAGCCCCCGCCAGACAGGGUCUGGUCACAGCAAUGCACUCAGUGGCACAUCCCCACCCUGGGGUCCCUCCGUGGGUCCCGGCGACACUGAUAAUCACAGGAAAGAGAAGAGGGGCUGCUGCAGGUGGAGCUGGCCUUGAACACGGAGGAUCAGGGAGAGCACACCUGAGGGAGGUUUCCGCUGAGACCUGGAGGACGCGAGGGGUGGGAGCAGGGCGCCUGGUGACCGGGCCAGCCCUUGCCUCUGGGCCUCCAUGUUCCCAGCUGUACAAUGGGCAGGGCUCCCCAAGGACCAUUUCCUGGGGUUUAGGGCACACCCGUGUGGGGGUGGCAUCCCUGUUGAUGCUGGAGUCACUGUCUGGGCUGGCCUUGUGGUUUAGCCCUCCCCCAGCAGCCAGCAGACCCCCUGGGCCCGGGCUGUCCCUAUACACGGAUGGCUCCAAGGCCUGGGGGGGGCGCCACAGGAGCACGGGGGGGGCCCAUGCCUCCCUCACUCACUCCCAGGUGUCCCCUCCCGGCUCUGGGAACCUGACUCAGCACGGUCACGUCUGUCCCUGUGUCACCAUGCCAGCUCUCAAAACCACUCCUCCUUUCCUCUCCCCUCACAGGGGCCUGGACGCUGCAUCCUGGGCCCAGAUCCACCAGAAGCUCCGGGACUUCUCCCGCAGCACCCAGGUAGGAGGCAAGGGCUGGCCCAGGCCCAUCCUCACGCCAUGCCCCAGCUCAUGGCUUACAUCCCCAUGCCAGGCAGAGCUGGAACGGGAGCGGGCACAGCUGCUGGUCCGGGCCACGAUGGCUGAAGAGCAACUUUCUGAGCUACAGGAGUACGUGGACCAGCACCUGGGCAGGUGGGCAGAGGGAGCUGGGUGUGACCCCAGGGCCCUGGUCUGGUUGGAAUGAAGGAUGAUGGCUGCCUCAGGCGCUAAAAGCAGACCUGUCCACAGCUGGGCAAGUCACUUAAGCAUGGUUCCUCUGAGCAGGUACAAGCACGAAAUCCUGAGGCUGAGGAAGCUGGCAGGUGCAGGGGACCCCUGGAAAGUGGGGGCUGUGCCUCCAGCCAAGCCCCAGCAUCCAAGGACCGGCAGCCACUAGGCCGUCUCCCAAGGAGCAGAGCAGAGCAGAGCUCCUCAGCCAGCACAGAACCCUCCCACCCAGCCCCCCAUAAAACAUGAGUCAGGAUAGAACCC
Molecule: long non-coding RNA, 3054 nt
Filed under: Homo sapiens (human)
Lineage: Eukaryota; Metazoa; Chordata; Mammalia; Primates; Hominidae
Description: non-protein coding lnc-CCDC78-1:4
Source: RNAcentral